Molecule: long non-coding RNA, 280 nt
Filed under: Manihot esculenta (cassava)
Lineage: Eukaryota; Viridiplantae; Streptophyta; Magnoliopsida; Malpighiales; Euphorbiaceae
Description: long non-coding RNA (MESC_LNC012997)
Source: RNAcentral
UGGCUCAGUCCCAGCAGACAUCUUCAGGCAGUGUGGCGCAGCCAGCAGCUCCAGCCAUGACUCAGGCCAGUGGCAGAGGCAGAGGGAGAGGGGCAGCCUCUUCUUCAGCGGGUUUCAGAGGUGAAGGUCCAUCAGCUCCGGCACGGAUCUUCACAAUGACACAGCAGGAGGCAGAUGCAUCUAACACCGUGGUGACAGGUAACUUAAUUAUUGGUUGUUCAGAUGUAUAUGCCUUGAUGGACCCUGGUGCAUCUCAUUCUUUUAUCGCUCCGAGAGCCGU